Molecule: ribosomal RNA, 429 nt
Filed under: Bacteroidota bacterium
Lineage: Bacteria; Pseudomonadati; Bacteroidota
Description: Bacteroidetes bacterium partial 16S ribosomal RNA
Rfam family: Bacterial small subunit ribosomal RNA
Source: RNAcentral
UAGGGAAUCUUCGGCAAUGGGGGGAACCCUGACCGAGCAACGCCGCGUGAGUGAAGAAGGUUUUCGGAUCGUAAAGCUCUGUUGUUAAGGAAGAACGAGUGUGAGAAUGGAAAGUACAUGCUGUGACGGUACUUAACCAGAAAGGGACGGCUAACUACGUGCCAGCAGCCGCGGUAAUACGUAGGUCCCGAGCGUUGUCCGGAUUUAUUGGGCGUAAAGCGAGCGCAGGCGGUUAGAAAAGUCUGAAGUGAAAGGCAGUGGCUCAACCAUUGUAGGCUUUGGAAACUGUUUAACUUGAGUGCAGAAGGGGAGAGUGGAAUUCCAUGUGUAGCGGUGAAAUGCGUAGAUAUAUGGAGGAACACCGGUGGCGAAAGCGGCUCUCUGGUCUGUAACUGACGCUGAGGCUCGAAAGCGUGGGGAGCGAACAGG